Molecule: ribosomal RNA, 494 nt
Filed under: uncultured bacterium
Lineage: Bacteria
Description: partial 16S ribosomal RNA
Rfam family: Bacterial small subunit ribosomal RNA
Source: RNAcentral
GACGAACGCUGGCGGCGUGCUUAACACAUGCAAGUCGAACGGAAAGGCCUGCUUUCCCUUGUGGAUUGCGGGUACUCGAGUGGCGAACGGGUGAGUAACACGUGAGUGAUCUGCCCCCAACUUGGGUAUAAGCCUGGGAAAUUGGGUCUAAUUCCCGACAGGACUGCAGGGUGGUGCCUGUGGUGGAAAACGAUUUUCUAGUGGUUGGGGAUGAGCUCGCGGCCUAUCAGCUUGUUGGUGGGGUAAUGGCCUACCAAGGCGGCGACGGGUAGCCGGCCUGAGAGGGUGGACGGCCACAUUGGGACUGAGAUACGGCCCAGACUCCUACGGGAGGCAGCAGUGGGGAAUAUUGCACAAUGGGCGGAAGCCUGAUGCAGCGACGCCGCGUGGGGGAUGACGGCCUUCGGGUUGUAAACUCCUUUCGACCGCGAGGAAGCCACCUGGUUGGAAGGGUGGUGACGGUAGUGGUAGAAGAAGCACCGGCUAACUACGUG